UUUACUAAUAUCUAAAUAUUAAUGUUAGUUAUGACAAUUUUCCCUAGUCUUCUAAGUGAAAUUAUUAUUUUCAAAAUUAUUUCACAAAAUAUUAUUAAAAUAGUCUUAUAUUUUCUAUAUGACUAUAUACCAGUAUAGUAUCACUAGCAAAAUAAAUGUAAGAACACAAAGUCACGGUCUCAUCAAAUCCAUAGUCAUCAGUCGGAGUAUCAUCAGGCCUAAAAAAUACAUUAAGAUAUUUUUCACAAAAAGAACGCUUAUAAAUUAUGAUAAAACUCAUUACCUAGACCUACACAGAUCACAUUACAACUAACAACAAAAGAAAAGCUAGGUUAAGUUAACAAUUCGCACCAUAGAUAAAAAUGUAUACUUAAAAAAAAUAAAAAAGUAAAAAUGUAAAAUGUCACCCGUGGGGAACGAUCCAGCAACCUUUAGAUUCACAGGCGCGCGUCUAACCCAUAGGCCACCAAGUAAGAUAAUCAAGCAUGGGGAACUAUCCGAACUAUACUAAUAAGUUUGAAUAUAAGUAAACAAUCUUAACAAUAAAAACUAAAAAUAUAUAGAAUUGAAAAGGAAAA
Anthonomus grandis grandis is the source of this 578-nucleotide long non-coding RNA. RefSeq lists it as uncharacterized. The record is from RefSeq and is a predicted model, not a curated record. Lineage: Eukaryota; Metazoa; Arthropoda; Insecta; Coleoptera; Curculionidae. The transcript has 2 exons.